GACGGCUCUCUCUCUUCCUUGGUCCAAGAGUUGGAUCAGCCAUCUCUCUCCUUCUCCAUGAUCAAUCCAAGAGUUGGAUGGGAAAGAAAAGAAAAAAGAUUGGAUCUCUUGUUCUUUUUCUUUAGAUCCUCCUAUGGAUCUCUUUAAUUCUCUUGAGAAGAGAAUCAAAAGAGACAAAAGAUUUCAUAAUCUAAGAAGCAAUCUCUGUAAGGAAGCUAGCACCCCAA
RNAcentral lists this long non-coding RNA (227 nucleotides) under Elaeis guineensis (African oil palm). Its description in RNAcentral is "long non-coding RNA (EGUI_LNC053815)". Lineage: Eukaryota; Viridiplantae; Streptophyta; Magnoliopsida; Arecales; Arecaceae. The record is from RNAcentral.